Long non-coding RNA from Cygnus olor (mute swan), 1445 nucleotides. RefSeq lists it as uncharacterized. NCBI's taxonomy places the organism in Eukaryota, Metazoa, Chordata, Aves, Anseriformes, Anatidae. The record is from RefSeq and is a predicted model, not a curated record. The transcript is spliced from 3 exons.
AAAAAAUCGUCUUGGGUAACUAAAUCUUGGGUAUUAGCUGAUAAGAUUAGGUGUCAGAAGUGUUAUAAAACAAAUCAGAUGAAUAAUGGGCAAACUGUUACUUCUUUCACAGCCUGAAGGCUCUGCAGGGAGAGCGGCCUUCUCUUAGCUUGUCAGGAGUGGGCAUUUUUCAGUCGCAUCUUCGGCCGAUAUAGCGCUUAUUGGGGCGGCCUUUGAUUCCCGGCAGCUGUCUUAGAUCAGAGAUGUUUAUUCCACUGCGAAACCUCUUUGGAUAGAGACGGGGGAGAGAGCUCAGAGCGGGGGCAUCCGCCUUAGCCUUUGAAGCGCCUCUUGCCGUCCUUUCUAGUCUUCUCGGCAAACCCCAAACCCUCUUCUCCUGUCACAAGUCAGUGCCCCGAGAUAAGAAAAGCCUCCUGCAAAUUAGCACGGUGACACGUCCGAAGUAACAACGGACCUCCACUGGCGGCUUUUGCGUUUCCGAAAAUCGGAUGCUUGACGCCGCAAGCCUCUCGGUCCAAAGAGGUUCCUUUCCCCGUUCCCUGUUCUGCCUUUAGAAAAUAUUUCUUUAUUUGGUCAAGGAAUCCUAUCAACGACAGGGAAAAAGUUGCGGUUGUAUUUCUCUUAAUGUAAGGAGGGGAGAGGGGAAAUAAACCUCCCCCCCCCCCUUUUUUUUUUUUUUAUUAUUUAUUGGACACCGUUUCGAGCGCACCGUAAUUAAUUUAAAUGCACUUGCUGGACGGGUUGCAGAGUCCACCUUCAUUGUAGGAAGGCCCUUGAGAAACGCAGGGCACCGAGAUGACGCCUCUGUGUCCAUCCAGCUUCGGAGGCUGUGGGAACAGUCCGAGUUUGAAGCCAGCUUGCUUUUGCUUUGCUUCCCACCGCCACCCCCCUUUCCGCUCCGCGUAAAGGCUUUUGGUUUUGUCUUAAAAGGCAUCUGAGAACCAACCUUUCGAAAUAGGCAAGGAGAGUGCUGAGGGGAAAUCACCCGAGCCUGCGGGAAACCUGCGUUUCGACAGCGUGUACAUGCCACAGAGCCAUCAGGCAAAAGGGCAAGAGUGGAAGCUGAAAAUCCAUUUCAAAAGGCAGAGAAAAGAAAUGAACAGCAACAACAACGACAAAAAAAGCCAAAAGGUUAUUUCUUAUCAGUGUGAGAUGGCGUUUGUACCCCACACCAACACCGCUGACUCCUUACACCGAGGAAAAUGAGGGAAAACCCUACAGCACUCUUCAUCAGUCAAACUGCUUGUUGUCUUUGAAACUAUAGAAGAAACAGCCCCACAACACUAUUUAGGGAAGCGCUGAGAAGACCUGUUUUUUGAUCUCCUUGUUCACUUACUUAUAAAGAAACAAGAUUUUAAUAUAUUAUUUUUGCUUCCAUAUUUCUUAAAUAAUGUUGAUGUUCUCAUAUUUUGUCCUGAAUAUGCAUUUCAUGAUUUAUGUUUUUU